GGUGAGGUGGCUGAGUGGUCGAAAGCACAUCUUUGCUAAAGAUGCGUACUGGAAACAGUACCGUGGGUUCGAAUCCCACCCUCACCGCCA
Molecule: transfer RNA, 90 nt
Filed under: Verrucomicrobiota bacterium
Lineage: Bacteria; Pseudomonadati; Verrucomicrobiota
Also listed under: 1 other name
Description: tRNA-Ser
Rfam family: tRNA
About the family: Transfer RNA (tRNA) molecules are approximately 80 nucleotides in length. Their secondary structure includes four short double-helical elements and three loops (D, anti-codon, and T loops). Further hydrogen bonds mediate the characteristic L-shaped molecular structure. tRNAs have two regions of fundamental functional importance: the anti-codon, which is responsible for specific mRNA codon recognition, and the 3' end, to which the tRNAs corresponding amino acid is attached (by aminoacyl-tRNA synthetases). tRNAs cope with the degeneracy of the genetic code in two manners: having more than one tRNA (with a specific anti-codon) for a particular amino acid; and 'wobble' base-pairing, i.e. permitting non-standard base-pairing at the 3rd anti-codon position.
Source: RNAcentral